GACGUAGGGGGCCAGCGUUGUUCGGAAUUACUGGGUGUAAAGGGUUCGUAGGCGGUUCUGCAAGUUGGGCGUGAAAUCUCUGGGCUUAACCCAGAGGCUGCUUCCAAAACUGCUGUGCUUGAGUGUGGGAGAGGCGCGUGGAAUUGCAGGUGUAGCGGUGAAAUGCGUAGAUAUCUGCAGGAACACCCGUGGCGAAAGCGGCGCGCUGGACCACUACUGACGCUGAGGAACGAAAGCUAGGGGAGCAAACAGG
Molecule: ribosomal RNA, 253 nt
Filed under: uncultured bacterium
Lineage: Bacteria
Description: partial 16S ribosomal RNA
Rfam family: Bacterial small subunit ribosomal RNA
Source: RNAcentral